ACUGUUUACAGCAAAUAUGACCUUGGGCAAGUUUCAUAACCUUUUAGUGCUUCAGCUGCCUCUUCUGAAGAUGGAGAUGAUAUUGACACCUGCUUCAUAGGGCUGUUGUGAGUUUUGAAAGGCCUCAUUUUUCCAUUGAUGCUUCUACAACAUUUUCAGCUGUGGACGGAACCUCUAACAUGUUUGGAUAAUCAAGGGGAUAAUCAGCUGCUGGGUGUUCCUACCACCAUAAAAGGUUAAAACAUGCUUUGCCUUUGUGCUUGACUAGGAAGCUAAUUAAUAACAAUACAGGCAGUUUCCAAUUUAUAAAUAACUUAUACUUAGGAAAGUUCAGUUGUAAAACUAUAAUUUGGAUCUUAUAAUACAUUUUCCCAUAAAAAUGUUGCAAGAGAUGAUUUAAUACUCAGGCCUACCUAUCUAAGUAGCCUAGUAUCUUGGAGAAAAAACUGGUACUAUAGACCACCAGUCACUGUGUAUGAUUCACCUGAUGUGUUCUGAAUUCUAGAUGAAGAAAUGUCAGAAACACAUCUCCCUCUAGGAAAAUCCUGGGGAGGAGAGGACUGCCUCUUGCUUGCCCCUCAUCACUUUUAGUAAAAGAGAGGUAGGAGUUUGGGGGGCAUGGUUUUCACUAGGCCACAUCAACCUCAGUUUCCUAGGUAACAUCAAUGGCAGAAGAGAAGAAGGGGUGGUGAGGUGGAAAUAUCCAUUGUUAUGUGUAUGUAAUUUGUUAAGACUUCUCUAUUAGUAGUGAUAGAAAUUUGUUAAAAUCUUUGGUAUUUGUUUUAGCAUCCCCUACCCUCCCUCUACCCGAGUCUACAAAUCAAACAAGGCCAUAGUCCUAGGGGAGAAUGACUGUUCUUUUCAUCAUAGUUCUUCCUGCAGGUACCCCAGACGAAGAUGUUCUCAAAAUCAUCUUUUUAAGAAGGCAAUAUUAAAAAAAAAAAAAGAGUUUGUCAUUAUCAACAAACAAGUCAUUAUUAAUUCUGACUUGAGGCAGAUUUAAUUGUUUUGCCAGUCCAAAAAGCUUCCCUAACUAUUGAAUCUGUCUGCAAAGACAGCCUGGCAUACACGUUGCCAUUUAAGAUGUGUCCAUCACUAAAUGCUUUAGACAGAACAGAACAUGACAGUGGCUUUCUUAAUGAUCCAAAGCUGGUAAUGUGGCAUUCAUUCAUUCAACAAAUAUGUACUAAGCAUUCGCUAUGCACCAAAUACUCUUCUAGGUGCCAGGUAUACGGCAAUGAAAAAUACAAAUAAUUUGCCUGCUGAGGCUAGACAGAUGAUAAACACACCAACAGGUAAUUAUAUAAUGUGUGAGAUGGUGAUAAGUGCUGUGGAAAAGAUUACAUUUCGUUUAGGGUGGUCAGGCAAGGAUCUGCAGGAAGUGAGGGGGUUAGCCAUGAGACUCUCUGGGAAAAGAGUUCUCCAGGCAGAGAGAACAGCAAAUGCAAAGCCCCUGAGCCAGGAGCAUCUUGGAAGAACAGCAAGGAGCCUCCAGCUGGAUCAGAGUAAGCUAGGGGAAAGUGGAGGGAGAUGAGAUCAGAGAGGUAGCAGGGGCACAAAGUCAUGUAGGGCCUCGUAGAUCACUUGAAAGAUUUGCUUUUAUUCUAAGUUAGAUAGGAAACCACUCGAGUGUUUUGAGCACAAGUGUAACAAGAAUUGACUUAUAUUUUUAAAGGAUUACUCUGGCUCUUGUAUUGAGAUAAGGUAAAAGAUGAUGGUAGAUUGAACCAAGAUGGUAGCAAUCAAAGUGAGGAAAAGUUUGGAUUUGGGAUAUAUUUUGAAGAUAGGGCCAAUAGGAGCUCUAAAGUAUUGGAUAUGAGGUGUCAAAGAAAAAGUAGAACCAAGGAUAACUCAAAACGCGUGGGCUAAGCACCUAGAAUUGUCAUUUAUUGAGCUGGGGAAGAUUACUGGGGGUAGAGGAGAAGGGAGAAUUGAAAGUUUCAUUUCUGAUAUGUUAAGUUUGACGUGCCUAUUAGACAUCCAAGAGCAGAUGUCAAGUAGGCGGUGGGAUAAGUAAGCUGAAAUUCAUGGACGAGGUCUGCUGUGUAAGUAUUCGUUUGGGCAUUUAAAGUCAUGAGACUGAAUGAAAACACCAAUACAUGCAGACAAAGAAAAGAGGAGGUGUUUGGCCUGAAUGCUAGUGCUGUCCAGUAUUCAGCCGUCAGAGAAAUGAGGCCCAACCAGCAAAGGAGACAGAAGAGAAAGAAGAAGACAUAUGAGAAGGUGGUGCCCCAAAAAGCAAGUGAAGAAAGGAGUUAAGGAGGGAGUAUUCAUCUGUGUCAAACGCUGCAAAUAAAUUAGGUAAGAUGAGGACUGAUAGUUGAUUAUUGAAUUUGGUGAAGGUCAUUGGUGACUUUGACGCUGUGCUGUGUCACUAAACCUGCUCUCCAAACAAUACCCUGAUUUGUAGUGUUUAUCGGUUUCAAUGGUGUAAAUACCCCUAUCAUGACCAAUUUCAAGCACCAAUGGUUCAACAACCAGCUCACAAAAUUCUUGAGUAUUAACAAUUGGCUCCUGUUAGCUCCAGCCCACACUGCCUUGACAGGAGCCAUUUUGGAAGGUGGGUGAAGAUUGUAGAAGUAUAUUCAAAAGAGAUGAAGCAGGAGGAAUGGGAGACAGUGAGUACAGACAACUCUUUUGAGGAAUUAUACUAUAUAUUUAAAAAAAGGUGAUAACUAAAACAAGAUGUGUGGUCAAGAGUUUGUUUUUGGUCUUUGUUUUCGUUUUAAAUAGGAGCUACAGUAGCAUGUUUGUAUACAGAUGUGAAUGAUUCAUUUAGGGAGGGGAAUUGGUGAAAAAGGAGAAAAUGGGGAGAAUUACUGAAAUGAAGGCCUUGAAUGGGAGGGGGAGGCAUAGUUUGGCCUGAGGUAAGAGCAUAGAUAGUAGUAAUAGCAGAGAAUAGUUCAGCACUCUCCUAUAGAAAUAUGACAUGUGAUUUAAAUUUUUUUAGAUAUCACAUUAAAAAAA
Long non-coding RNA from Trichechus manatus latirostris (Florida manatee), 2967 nucleotides. RefSeq lists it as uncharacterized. Lineage: Eukaryota; Metazoa; Chordata; Mammalia; Sirenia; Trichechidae. The transcript is spliced from 2 exons. The record is from RefSeq and is a predicted model, not a curated record.